CAGUGUAGAAGCCAAGAACAAAAAAUUGGCAGAAAUUAUUUUCUGUGUGUGAGAAAAUGAAGAGAGUGUACUCAUGACUAAGCACAGGAACCUGAAAAACCACAGGUGCUACAGAUGCUCUGUCUUGACAGGAAACUGUUCUAUGAUCCCUCUUGAACUGGAAGUCAUGGCUGGCUGUAUGUUCUGUUGUAAAACAA
Nothoprocta perdicaria is the source of this 197-nucleotide long non-coding RNA. RefSeq lists it as uncharacterized. The transcript is spliced from 2 exons. Lineage: Eukaryota; Metazoa; Chordata; Aves; Tinamiformes; Tinamidae. The record is from RefSeq and is a predicted model, not a curated record.